Molecule: long non-coding RNA, 1712 nt
Organism: Solanum pennellii
Lineage: Eukaryota; Viridiplantae; Streptophyta; Magnoliopsida; Solanales; Solanaceae
Exons: 2
Source: RefSeq, a predicted model, not a curated record
UUCUUACCCAACUUUUACUAUCGACAAAAUUCUCUAAAUGCCUCUAUACAUACUCAUAAGAACUCAUUUGUCCCAAGACUAAAUCCGAUGCAAUAAUAAAUUUAAAUUCGAGAGCCUUUUGUUUAAGGAAAUUCUAUUACAAGCCAUUUAAUAAUAGAUUAGUCGGGCGGUGUCCGACUAAGGAGUGUAGAAUGCAGGGCCACACUUGCAUUUCCAUCCUUCAGGCUCAUAAUUAGUGUACUGAACUCCCACUCGACCUGUGUUGGUGGGUACUUGUAUGGCUUCACAAGGCAUACAUCCAUAGCAUUUGUGGUCACAGCUUGGAGGACUAGAUCCUAUCGAUUUCAUCUCUUCGUUACUCACAUUACUAUUUUCUUCUACUAUCUUCAUUUGUCUUUCUCCUUCUAUGCUCAUAUUUCCCUGAAAAAAAUGAACUUGUUUAGUACUCCAUUCGAAUGCGAAGAAAUCAAAAGGCAAAAGAUUUCGAGAAUUACCUUAUUUGUACUGAAUUUGUUGUGUAUAGAUUGUUGAUUUGAUGUCAAUGGCCUGCAAUUAACACAUGAUAAGGAGAGUGCAAUUAUGAUUAGGACGAAAUAGCUGAAGUUACACUUCAUUUUAUAAUGGCACACCAAGUGUUUGUAUAAAUGAGGCAAUGAGAGUGUGAAAGAGAAAGAGACAAAAAUAACAGGGGAUUUAGAAUAAUUGGAGGUUGAUCAUUUGGUUCACUUCAAAGGGUGUCCAUAUCAUGAUAGCAGCUUUAUAAAGGUAACAAAGGAAAAAGAGGAAGUCCCAAAAAGCAAUCCCUCCAAAGCUCCUUGGAUUUCUCUAAGCCUCUCUCACUCUAAAUUGCAGGUUAAUUAACAGGGAAAAUUUGUGGAUGCCUAGACUGCAGAGCCACCUAUUCCCCCUUUUGGUCAUAUUCUGGAACUGGACAAGAAGGAAAAUCUUUCUUUAAAUUCUUUUUAGUUUUUAAAUCAAGAAAUAAGUACGCAGAAUCAAUGUCUGAUAGAUUCAGUACCAAAAAAAAAUUGAAAUUUAUGUUAGUGAACAAAACUUACAUAUAUUAUAUAUAGUACAUGAUAAAAUGUAUGAGUAGUUAACUACUUUCAUGGAUAGGGAAGCGUUAGGGGCACGGCCAAGUAGGACAAAAAUUAAACCAUUUUGAUCUUUUUCGUGUGUUUACUUUUCAUAUAUAAUUUGAACUUCGUUAUAGAAACUCUGGCUCCGCUUCUGCUUGGGAGCACUGUGACCAAAAAAGUUUUUCUUAUUAUCCAAAAAGAAGAGCUUGAUUUUCUAUUGGACACUGCAAGGGUUUCUGAAUUUGUCCAUCCAAAGAAAUGAAGCCUUUCAUUGACUUUUAGCAUUAGGCUAAAGUUGAACUAAGUGAAGUAAGUGCAGCUGAUUACAGCAUCACCAUUGAAUAAUGAGUUGCAAUAAAUAGGGAAGAAAGAAUGAGGAGCCAAUAAUUAAACAAACUUUUUUAUUUUGGUUCUUUUAACAUUUGAGGUAAGAACUGUGAAACCAAACCUGGGAAGCAAGCACAUAUAAAAGGAAAGCUGAUAAGUACCAUUCAAUGCACUGUUUUCAUUUUUUCUUUUGCUUUAGUACUAGCUGAUGAGUGGCAGUGAAGUAGCAUGUGCAGACUAAGUCACGUGUUAGCAAUAUGGUUUGGGAAUCAAGAAAAUACUUUUCAUUAAGUUUUUGAUAAAUUA